AUGAUAAAUUCACCCCAUGCUUAUGAACAAAACAAAGCUUUUACUAAACAUAUUGUUGAUGCUAUGAUGAAAGCUCUUGAAGAAAAGUUGGAAUUAGAAGUUUCAAUUCCUAGAAAAUUGCAUGAUGAAUGGGAACCUACUAUCAAAGUCAAGAUUAAAAAUUAUGAGUGUUUUUCUUUGUGUGACUUGGAUGCUAGUGUUUCUACAAUUCCGAAAUCUUUAUGUGAUGUGCUUGGUCUUACCAAUCUUGAAGAAUGCUCUUUGAAUUUGCACUUGGUGGAUUCUACUAUUAAAAAGCCUAUGGGAAGAAUUAAUGAUGUUCUUAUUCUUGCAAAUAGGAAUUAUGUUCCCAUAGAUUUUAUGUUCUUGAUAUUGAUUGCAAUCCGUCUUGUCCAAUUAUUCUUGGUGGACCAUUUUUACGCACUAUCGGUGCCGUGA
RNAcentral lists this ribosomal RNA (438 nucleotides) under Triticum aestivum (bread wheat). RNAcentral describes it as "partial small subunit ribosomal RNA". The record is from RNAcentral. Lineage: Eukaryota; Viridiplantae; Streptophyta; Magnoliopsida; Poales; Poaceae.